RNAcentral lists this ribosomal RNA (323 nucleotides) under uncultured eukaryote. RNAcentral's name for it is "partial 18S ribosomal RNA". It matches the Rfam family "Eukaryotic small subunit ribosomal RNA", at positions 1470 to 1796 of the family's 1831-position model. The record is from RNAcentral.
CCCUUAGAUGUUCUGGGCUGCACGCGUGCUACACUGAUAUUGCCAAUAUGUCAUUCUUAUCCGAAAUGGAUUGGGUAAUCAAGUAAUGAAAUUUCAUGCUUGGAAUCGGUAAUUGCAAUUUUAUCGUGAACGAGGAAUUCCUAGUAAGCACUAGUCAUCAGCUAAUGUUGAUUAUGUCCCUGCCCUUUGUACACACCGCCCGUCGCUACUACUGAUUGGGUGUGCAAGUGAGAUGCUUAGACCCUUGUUGCAUGGUUCAUUAUUGUGCUCCGAAAGGAAAAAGUUUCAAGCUUGAGUGUCUAGAGGAAGUAAAAGUCGUAACA